This 442-nucleotide ribosomal RNA is filed under the name uncultured bacterium. Its description in RNAcentral is "partial 16S ribosomal RNA". It matches the Rfam family "Bacterial small subunit ribosomal RNA", at positions 338 to 795 of the family's 1533-position model. The record is from RNAcentral.
CCUACGGGAGGCUGCAGUGGGGAAUAUUGGGCAAUGGGCGCAAGCCUGACCCAGCCACGCAGCGUGAAGGAAGAAGGCUUUCGGGUUUUAAACUUCUUUUUUCAGGGAAGAGUAGAAGACGGUACCUGACGAAUAAGCCACGGCUAACUACGGGCCAGCAGCCGCGGUCAUACGUAGGUGGCAAGCGUUAUCCGGAUUUACUGGGUGUAAAGGGCGUGUAGCCGGGUUGACAAGUCAGAUGUGAAAUCGUGCGGCUUAACCGCAGAACUGCAUUUGAAACUGUUGAUCUUGAGUACUGGAGAGGCAGACGGAAUUCCUGGUGUAGCGGUGAAAUGCGUAGAUAUUAGGAGGAACACCGGUGGCGAAGGCAGGCUACUGGACAGCAACUGACAGUGAGGCGCGAAAGCGUGGGGAGCAAACAGGAUUAGAUACCCCAGUAGUC